GCGUCAGCCGCCGCGGUAAUACGUAGGUGGCAAGCGUUGUCCGGAAUUAUUGGGCGUAAAGCGCGCGUAGGCGGUUUUUUAAGUCUGAUGUGAAAGCCCACGGCUCAACCGUGGAGGGUCAUUGGAAACUGGAAAACUUGAGUGCAGAAGAGGAAAGAGGAAUUCCAUGUGUAGCGGUGAAAUGCGCAGAGAUAUGGAGGAACACCAGUGGCGAAGGCGACUCUCUGGUCUGUAACUGACGCUGAGGAGCGAAAGCGUGGGGAGCGAACAGGAUUAGAAACCCCAGUAGUCC
This 292-nucleotide ribosomal RNA is filed under the name uncultured prokaryote. RNAcentral describes it as "partial 16S ribosomal RNA". It matches the Rfam family "Bacterial small subunit ribosomal RNA", at positions 505 to 796 of the family's 1533-position model. The record is from RNAcentral.